ACCUGACCUCGCACCGGCGCAUACA
Molecule: non-coding RNA, 25 nt
Filed under: Mus musculus (house mouse)
Lineage: Eukaryota; Metazoa; Chordata; Mammalia; Rodentia; Muridae
Source: RNAcentral